RNAcentral lists this ribosomal RNA (406 nucleotides) under uncultured bacterium. RNAcentral's name for it is "partial 16S ribosomal RNA". It matches the Rfam family "Bacterial small subunit ribosomal RNA", at positions 30 to 526 of the family's 1533-position model. The record is from RNAcentral.
AUUGAACGCUGGCGGCAUGCUUUACACAUGCAAGUCGGACGAGUGGCGAACGGGUGAGUAACGCAUCGGAACGUACCGAGUCAUGGGGGAUAACUGUCCGAAAGGACAGCUAAUACCGCAUAUCAUUCGAGGGGCCGAUUUUGGAUUAGCUAGUUGGUGGGGUAAAGGCCCACCAAGGCGACGAUCAGUAGCGGGUCUGAGAGGAUGACCCGCCAAACUGGAACUGAGAACCGGACCAGACUCCUACGGGAGGCAGCAGUGGGGAAUUUUGGAAAAUGGGCGCAAGCCUGAUCCAGCCAUGCCGCGGGUCUGAAGAAGGCCUUCGGGUUGUAAAGUACUUUCAGCGGGGAGGCGUUACCCGCAGAAGAAGCACCGGCUAACUCCGUGCCAGCAGCCGCGGUAAUUC